UAAUCCUGGUCGGACAUCAGGAGGUUAGUGCAAUGGCAUAAGCUAGCUUGACUGCGAGCGUGACGGAGCGAGCAGGUGCGAAAGCAGGUCAUAGUGAUCCGGUGGUUCUGACUGGAAGGGCCAUCGCUCAACGGAUAAAAGGUACUCCGGGGAUAACAGGCUGAUACCGACCAAGAGUUCAUAUCGACGGCGGUGUUUGUCACCUCGAUGUCGGCUCAUCACAUACUCUGG
Molecule: ribosomal RNA, 231 nt
Filed under: Klebsiella pneumoniae
Lineage: Bacteria; Pseudomonadati; Pseudomonadota; Gammaproteobacteria; Enterobacterales; Enterobacteriaceae
Description: partial 23S ribosomal RNA
Rfam family: Bacterial large subunit ribosomal RNA
Source: RNAcentral